AUGUUUGAGCUGCCUCGAGCCUUGUGGUCUGUGUUAAACAGUGCAGCUUUAGUGCAGGAGGUUUUUGUACAGACACUGAAUGAGGUUGUAUCACUGUGGUACACUUUUGGUGGAGGAACUCGACUCUCUGUUGGAAGUGAUGCUCGGCCCACCCUUACAGUGUUGCCCCCCUCUAGUGUGGAGUUGAAGCAGGGGAAGGCUACACUGGUGUGUUUGGCCAACAAGGGUUUCCCCUCAGACUGGACGCUGAGCUGGAAGGUGGACGGUAACAGCCCGACGUCAGGUGUGAGUGUGAGUGGGGGUGUGCUGGAGAAGGGAAACGGCCUCUACAGCUGGAGCAGCACCCUGAGCCUCACUGAGCAGCAGUGGAGGAACGCACAUGCAGUGAGCUGUGAGGCCAGACAGGGCAGCCAAAGCCCAGUCACCAACAGCCUGACCCCACAGCAGUGCUAGUGUUUCUGCUGAUGAGCUGCUCAACAGUUUUUCAGCUCAGUUCAGUGCC
Molecule: non-coding RNA, 502 nt
Organism: Colossoma macropomum (tambaqui)
Lineage: Eukaryota; Metazoa; Chordata; Actinopteri; Characiformes; Serrasalmidae
Source: the annotation of a RefSeq genome assembly